CCCAGCUUUGGGUUUUGAAUUAUGGACUCAGUCCAUUUUUCUGCAGUGUAUACUAUGUGUAUAUCAGACCCCUUUUCUUCCUGCGUUAUUGUAUAUCUGGUAUAUACAUGAUCAUAUAUUGGUCAUAUAUGCACAUAUUUUAGUCCUCCACCUGUAUAAUCAGUUUUCUUUUUCUCAUAUCUUGCCAAAUAUUUGUGUAUAUCCGCUAUAUACAUGCAUGUACAACCUUGUUUCUUGUCUCUUAGUGCAUUUUUUGGAACUUUGGUUGAGGCUCGGACCCAAAGAUGAUGUAGGCCUCUUUGACCCAUUCAAAAAUGCGGAAAAUGGAGUCUAAUGGACUCGAAUGAAUUCAC
This 353-nucleotide long non-coding RNA is filed under the name Capsicum annuum. Its description in RNAcentral is "long non-coding RNA (CANN_LNC019513)". Lineage: Eukaryota; Viridiplantae; Streptophyta; Magnoliopsida; Solanales; Solanaceae. The record is from RNAcentral.